Pomacea canaliculata is the source of this 5582-nucleotide long non-coding RNA. RefSeq lists it as uncharacterized. The transcript has 2 exons. NCBI's taxonomy places the organism in Eukaryota, Metazoa, Mollusca, Gastropoda, Architaenioglossa, Ampullariidae. The record is from RefSeq and is a predicted model, not a curated record.
ACUGGUACUGGUCAACAACAAAUGGAUCAAUGACGACAGAACCAGGACUACUACAAAUUUAACAGUUUCAACUGCAGGAACACCGACGACAGCAGGAGCACUGACGACAACAACUGCAAAACUGACACCAACAACAGGAACAAUGGCAACAGCAACACCAACAACAGGAUCCACCUCUGGUGUGCCAAGCAACCCAUCUGCAGGUGAUGAGAGUGGCAGACACUUUGAUGCUGCAUCUUUCAUUGGUGGCAUUGUUCUUUGUCUUGGACUUGGGGUCAUCGCUUUCAUUGGUCUUAAGUACUACCGUUCACGUUCUCAGCAGAAUUACCGCACUCUUUAAACAUUAUUCAAAUGCUGGCCAAAUAACCUGCUCCAGCUUGCUGCAUAGUGUUUUUUUUUUGGUUUUUUUUAAUGGGUUUUAGAAUACUUGUAAAAGUUAAAAGGAUUAAUUUUUUGGUAUAAUUCUAACACAAACCAUAAAUAAUUUUUUUCUGUAUAUCCUUUCAUUUCAAAGCACAUGAUAACAAGCAAGGAAAUAUACAUCCACACAUGUAUAUGUAUAUAUGUUUUUAUUAAAUCUUAAUGAAGUAUAUUUUGGGAUUAGGGGGUGCGGGGGUUAACAGCUUAAAUGCCAUUUAGAAUAAGUAAAACAUGAAAGAGGCUUUGGUCAUACUUGUUUAAACUUCCCAUGUGAAUAAUGUGGUUCACAGUUAUCUAACUCUUUUUAGAGCAAGCAUGGAAUGUUUUUUGGUAUUCAAAUGUUUCAGAUACAGAAGUCUCAAUAAUAAAUUACUUUUUAUAUAUUGGUGGAUUAUUUUUCCCACAGGAGACAUUUCUCAAGAUUUAAAUAAGCGGAAUCCAAAAAUUGUUGUGGAGUAACUGAGCGUUCCAAUAUUUAAUGGUAGCAUUUUUUUUUGUACUGCUGUAAAUGUUUUAUUGGCUUCUGUUUCACUGAAUUCUCAGAUUCAAUAACAGUUGAGGAGGAUGUAGGUGUAUUGAGGUGGUGUCUGGUGAUGAUUUUGGAAAAAAGGAUACUUUUUGUUAAUAAAAAUCUUUGACAAUCGGAAAACGCAGAGGAGCUGUGUACUAACGUGUUUCACUUGCCUUGACAUUUCCUACAAUUUUUGAAUUGUAUCUAGUUUUAAACCAAAUGUCUUUAUGUUUUCGCUUCUCAAGACUUAAGUUUUUUUUUUUUUUUAAUUUGUUUCAAUAUUGAGCCUACUUUUAUUCGGAAAAUUUUGUGUAUCAUUACUUGUCAUUGAUAAUCGGUUUCUGCUUCCUGUAAGCUUUAUCUUUAUUGGGAGCCUGUGCUCUGCAAGUUGAGGCUAAUCCAUCUCUGAUUCUUGAGUCUUUUAUUUCUUUGCUCAGUGUGUUAAGUACACUGCAUAAGAAGGCUGUGGUGUGGUAGCUGGUUGACUGUUGCAGCAUGCAUGAUUUGUGCAAUCCUAUGUCUGCAAAUCUAAGUCCACUUGCCUCGUAGGGAUCAUAAUGCAACAAUACAAAUUCUUGUUCGUGCUAUAACACUUCUUUAGUUAGAGGUAUGAGAUUUUUGUACAUAUCAGAGAAAGUCCACGUGAGUUCACACUGUUUCACUGCUUAUUUGUGACAGCAUUGGAAAGGAUAGGGAGAGAUCACAGGCUGGUGGUUUAUUCUUGUUAUACAUUUAAUAUUUUUGAUCCUUGAAAGGUCUGAUAAUGCACUUGUUUUUUUUUUCUCAUGAAAGAUCUGAUAGAUGAAAGUCUACAAGUGAUACGUUUUGUUUUGUUGUCGUUGUAUCAUAGGAAGUCUUUCAGGUAAAUUGCGAUGCCCCUCAGACUUCCUAAUUUUUACCUGCUCUUGUUAAAGGUGAACAGAAAGCUGGAAUAUUACUUUUCUACAAGUAACAGAUUUCCAUAAAAAGCCUGCAAAGUAUUUUCAGAGCAGUUAUCUUUAUGGUCUCUUAUGUUUUGAGAGAUCUGUUGUUUGCCUUAAAACUUAAACUGUAUAUUAAAUGUUUCCUAAAAACUAGUGCCUUAUAAUGAUGCUUGUUUGCUAUAUUUUCUCCUUGAAAUCUUUUCCUUUUUAUUUGAGUUCAAGAUGAAACUUUUACCAUAGGAUGGGAAAGAAUGGUUUGAGAUGGGUAUGUGGGAGGGAGGGGCAAGCAUGGGGGGAAGCAUUACUAAUUGCUUCCAUCUGGCCUGACAGUCACCUUUAUCUUCCUCCUAAAGGUUGUACCAUUCUUUCCUGCCAGACAUGGAAGUUUGGCCUUUAACUUAUCAAGUGUUAUGAUAAGAAUGUCCCUGGUUUUAUUGUUAGCUGUAUUAUUGUUAAUGCUUUGAAGGAGUUCUGGGCAAGCUUGGUGCUAAGAAGCAUGGUAGAGAUAAAAUGCCUUCAAAAAUGUUCAUUACAAAGAAUUAUACACUCUUAACUUACUAUCUGACCCAUAUCUGUCCAAAUUUUACCUAAUGGCAAAAGUUGGUGAUUUGAGGUAGACUGUUGCACACCAGCCUGUUGGGUAUGGCUGUGCAGAUAUUGAGCAGUUAAUAAACCCUUAUUGCAGUGAAUAGUAGCAAUCAGUCACUGAAUGAAAAAACAGUUUCAAACACUGUUGUCUUUCCAUCCAAAUGUAUCCUGUAGCCACUUAUGAAGUAACCUUUAUCUGUUGAAAUCGCAAGGGAUGGGCAACAUCUCAGCAGCAAUAACAUGAUGAUAGCCUGUUCUGCUUCAGUAUGUUGUAACUAGGGAUGAUAUAAUGAGAGUAGACUGUAUAUUAAUGACAAAUGACAUUGUUUUUAACAUGGCAUAGGUAUAUUUUUGGAAGCUCCCCUGCCUUUUAUCAAGAAUGGAGGUGAUGCUGUAUGUGAAUUGCAAGUUUGCCAAAAUUUUGCCUUUUGGCAUCACCUUGUUGAUAAUCCCUGUUGCAUAACUAUAAAGUGGCCUGGGAAUGUCUAAAAAUGUUUGAUUCUUAGUCCUUUGUGCUGACUUUGUGUGGAUGAGCUACUUCUCAUCCAUGUUUGAUCAAUGCUUUAUAAGAAUCCCUCCUGUGAGAAUUAGUCAUGGAAGUGUAUGAGAUUGUUUUAGGUUGAGUGGGAUUUGCAGUGUGUUACAGCUGGGUUUUUUUGGGGGGCUUGUAGAGAAGCACUUUGUGCACUGCAUAUUCAUUGUUCAAAUAGGAAAGGUUGCAAUCUCACACACACACAAACAUGUAAUUGUCUUGACAUUGUUUUUGACUCUCUAUUCUUUUCUGUUCUUAUGAUCAUCAUAGCUUUUAGACAGAUCUUUUGUAGUGGCAUUUGCUUGAUCACUUUGAGAUGGAACUUAUCUGGCCUUGUGGAGAUAAGGGUUGGUGUGCAGAAAACAUAAAAUAGUGAUCACAUUGGUACAGGGGUGUUUAUGUGAUGGUUAACAGCCUUUUGUUCUUUGUACCUUUGCAAUGGUUCAUCUAACCUAGUGACUUAAUUAUAAAAUUAUUAUUUGGAUGUUUCACUUAUUAUGAGUUUCUUUAGAAUGCAUAAGUUGCUUGUAUUUUAUAGAUAUUUUCAAUGCAUGUAUAUAAUUUUUCAGUGUUUUUUUUUUUCACCAUCAUACCAUUCUGGUUUCCUUCCUUGCCAACAAGGACUUAUCAGUUGCAUUUUUAGCAUUUGCGUGCUUUAAAAAAACUCUUAAUAAGUAUUCAUUUACAUUUUGUGUGAAGAUAUUCUCUUUGAAGGGAAUUUUCUUAACAUUCCAAACAGCCAAAUGUUAAACCCUGGAAAAGGUACCAGAGUGUGCAAGAGGUUCUUUUGUGAUGCAAUUUUGAAAAAAGUUCUUCCUGGCAUUUUGGCAACAUUUUCUUCUAAAGUAUGAAGUGCUGUUUCUUUGUAACUGGUGCCAUGGUUUUGAGACCAUUACUUUUUUAAAACUGUUUGAAUUCCAUUACAAGACUGUUGUUGUUCUGGGAGGGGAGCAUUUUUCUGAUGUGCAAGUUAAUGGUUUUCAUUAUGGUUUUCUCGAUCAUUGGCAUACCAUACAGGUAUUGUUUGAAAUACUGAUUUUAAUAUGGCUGGUGAAAAAAUGUGCCCCCUGAUUCAGUGGUAAUUCUGAAUUACAUUCAUUUCUUUGGCUAACUAGAUGUGGGCUAUUUGUAUAACCUCUAUGGACCAUACUUAAUGUGAUUACCAGUAAAUUCUACAGUUUCCUCUUUGCACCUCCUAGUUGUGCCAUAUGGUUAUUGUUUAUAAAACAUUUCUUUCCUGUUCCUUGUUGCCAGUUUUAUCUUGUUGGUAUUUUCCUUGGAAAGGGAUGGGGAGGGCUGAAGAUUUUGUACAUAAAAGCAUGUACCUGAGUUUCUUCACUAUGUUUGAAUAUUUCAGUUAUGUAGUAAAAUUAAAGGUUUUUGUUCAAGGAUGUACAUCUGGGUAUCUCUGCAGCAUGGAUAUUUUUGGUUUUUUUUAACAUCUGAUGCUGUUACUUUUUCCAUUGACAAAGUUUGGAGCUGGCUGCAAUACACUAAUGUAGCUUUAAUAUUAAUGCAGUAGUCAGCUCAUCAGCUUAUGAAAGAGUUCUUGUCUGCUGAUAAAUGCUCUUUCUGGCACAGUGGUCUAUACUGCUGAUAGGAGAGGAUAAUUAUUAAUUCACCAUGUAACUACAUCUUUGGCAAGUUCAGAAAUUGGUCACAUGAUCUUUUUGUGGGCUAUUGUCUAAAGCAUUUAUAGCUUAUAGUGAUCAAGAGGAAAGUACAAGUUUACUCUAGACCCAUACCAGUGAUCUUUUGAUCACCAUACUGGAUUGGGAUACCACUUUUGCGAUCACAUGAUGAUAAUAUUUAAUCUGAUGCAGACUAUUUUUAAAAGUUCAGGCAUCCUGAUCACUGGUGUUGCAGACGUUAACCUCAAGAUUUUAACAACCAAAAGUGACUUGCUUGAGGAAUAAAAAAUCCUGCAGAAAUAAAGCUUUGCAUGAGCUGAAAUCAGUCAAAGUUGGAAGUCCAGCAGUGAUGGAUGCUUCAGAAAAGUGAGCACAUAUUGCAGUCAUCUGUUUCCACUUAACAGACUACAAGAUGGGCAUGUCAUUGUGUAUUAACAAGUUAUUUUUUCUUCUUUUUUAAUGUUUUUCAUAAUUACAACAUAGUGGCAGGAAUAUACUACUAGCGAUUCGUAUUUAAUGUGUAAAUAAAUAGGUGUAGAUGAGUUGCAGAAAGGAGGCAGAAUAGUUGACUGAUUCAAAACAAGUGCCUCAUCUAGCCUGUGAUAAAGGAGUAAUAAAAUGCUAUGGGUCUGCCAAGCUGCCUUUAAGAUCUACACAAACUGUCCAUAUCUUUUGGAGUAUAUUGGGAGUUAGGCUGGAUAUGGUGAGGAACAAGAAAUUGCAGAUUGAGAUAGGAAAGAUUUCUAGUCCCCGUUAUGUUUAAUAUGAAUCUAAGCAGCCUCAAGUGGUAUUGCAUCUAGGAUAAAGUAUUAGUGUACAAAAUGCAACUAGAUUCUUUUUUAAAUCCUAAUUUGGUGCUUGACACAAAGAGAAGUUGUGUCUUUAGUAGAUGUGGGUUAGAUGAUAAAAGGUCAUCAAAGCAGUUGUGGUUUCUAAUGGUUCCGCUUCAUGUUCAAUAAAUAUUUUCUACACCUCUU